GGAAGUAAAAGUUGUAACAAGGUAUCCGUAGGUGAACCUGCGGAAGGAUCAUUAUUGUAUAACCGAGGUGCGAGGGCUGUCGCUGACCCGAAAGGUCGUGCACGCCCGAGUGCCCUCACACACAUCCAUCUCACCCCUAUGUGCACCACCGCGUGGGUCCCCCUUUGGCUUGUUCGGAGGGGGGCUUACGUUUUCACACAAACUUUGUAUGCAGUGUAGAAUGUAUUUUUUGUUUUUGCGAUCACGCAAUCAAUACAACUUUCAACAACGGAUCUCUUGGCUCUC
Molecule: unclassified non-coding RNA, 285 nt
Filed under: plant metagenome
Description: partial contains small subunit ribosomal RNA, internal transcribed spacer 1, and 5.8S ribosomal RNA
Rfam family: Eukaryotic small subunit ribosomal RNA (bases 1-54)
Source: RNAcentral